AUUGUCCUUAGCGGUGAUAAUAUUCCUUGCGUCACUGGGUGUUAUUCUUAACACCUCCCUCGUGUGCUCAUGGUUUGAAUGACAAGGGCUUGAUAUGUAGUGAGAGACAGUGAGAAGUGAACUGCUUUAUACAUGACCCUACAACUCCUGUCAUUAAAGAAGGUCACUGGCUGUGUUCCUGUGCAGUGACAUGACAUUUCAUUUCUGUUCUGCUCUAGGGUUACACCCCGCUGCACAUUGCAGCUCUGCACGACCACAGGCACAUCAUCGAUCUUCUAAUCAACUACGGUGCAAAGCAGAAUGUUCGGGAUUACAGUGGCCACUUAGCCCUGCAGUAUCUCAAAAUGCAGCAUUCCAGCGAUGGCAGGAGUGAUGCACAAUUCCCUGUCUCUCACGGGAAUACACGCAGGAGCAGGAAGCUGGCGACGCUUUUCUCCGGAAGCUCGAAGAAGAGGUGGGGCUCGGCGGAGGACCUUGCAAGUGGGGAGGAGAAGGGGGGAGGGUCCCAGCUGCUCAUGCCGCCGGCGUUCAGACCCAGGAAGUUCUCCCGGUAACAGGUGGAGGCAGAGACGGCUACUCCCCAAGUACCUGCAGCUGCACAACACCAAGGAUGCCAUUGAAGGGAUGGCUACUGCACCCUUAAAACAGCUGCUUUUAAAAUGAAAAGCUGGCAUUUGUUCUGCAAAAAUAUAGCGCAGCGUUUUCAGUAAGGGAUUCAGGUAUCUGGGGCUGGAAACACAAAAUGCUACAGUCCUUUUAAAUGUGCAGUUCUUCCUGUGAAUAUAUCGCUUUUAUUUCUUUGUUUGCUUUUAUUUUGCUGUCUCCAAAAACCAAGGUGCUGUGCAUAUAGUCUUAGGUGUUUCAUAUAAACUCUACGACAGGUCUAGUGGAAUCACACACAGCAAUGUGUAUAUUUUCUGCACAAUGGCUGAAGUACUGCAGUACUGCCAUAUGAGCACUGGGGCUUAUUUCAAUGUAGUUUCACAUAGGACUAGAUUUAAAAAAUAUAUAUGGGGUUUAGAUUUUCCUAAAAAUUGGAAACAAACAAAUCAGUAACUAACUAGUGUUUUGCUGAUGUAGGGGUCGUGCAUUUUUGUAUAGCUGUAUGUAUAAUUUGCAUUUUUUACAGUGUUGUAAUAAUUGGUUGGUGCUCUGUGAAACUCUGGAGCGAAUGCAGGGAGACGGACUCCCUCCGUUCAGACUGCAAGAGCGCAUUCGCUGUUUUGUUUCUGUUGCUAAUGGGUUGAUUGCCCAUGUCACUUGUGCAGAGUACCUCCAGGAGCCUCCUCUAAGGGUAUUACGUUCAUGAAGGUUUUAAAGGCAAGCCUGUUCUUCCAUUGAGAAGGGCAUGGUGUUUGAGGUGUUAAAGAAUUCCAGAAUGGAAUCCAGACUCUUAACAUUCCACAAGAGUGUUCUGAUGUUCUAACUGCAUUGCAUCAUGUAAACAGCACUGCAGAAGUGUUGAGCUGGGACUGCAAGUCUUAUAAUGUUACAGAAGAAUUGUUUGUCAUUUUAUCCUGCUAUGUUUUUUUUUUUUUUUUUUUCUUAUGCAGGAAGUAACAAAUAUCAAGCUUAGAGAUCACAUGUUCUGUCUUCAUUUUUAUAUAUAUAUAUAUAUAUAAAUAUAUACCGCAUAUGCAAAAAAAUAUUUGCUGUGUAAUCUAUUUUUGCAAUUGGUAAACAAAUAAAUGAGUAGACUUGCAAA
This is a long non-coding RNA of Polyodon spathula (Mississippi paddlefish), 1705 nucleotides long. RefSeq lists it as uncharacterized. The transcript is spliced from 3 exons. The record is from RefSeq and is a predicted model, not a curated record. Lineage: Eukaryota; Metazoa; Chordata; Actinopteri; Acipenseriformes; Polyodontidae.